AUUGCUUAUAAUGAUAGGAGUUCAUGUCUUGCUGCUGCACUUUGAGAGACCUAAACGUUGGGGAAAUAAGUGAAGUGGGGAGAGUGGACUCGUUUUGAUGAACGUGGCCGUUGAUGAACUGCAACUAUGCAGAAAAUGAGCGUAGAAGAGAAAGAGUAAUGUCCAAAUAACCUAGUUGGUUCAGUUAUUUACAGAUAAAUUGUUACUAACCUUAUCUAGAUAAGAAAUUAGAUUAGUUCUUCAUGAAUAAUAUCGGCAUGACAAAUAAGAACUUGGAUAAUUUUGUAUUUGUUUUAUCAUCAGGUGGAAACUUUUUCUUGUGCUUUAUAUUUUCAUUUUCCCAUUUUCACUAUGCCAUUAUGUUUUUUCAGCUUUUGUAAGAAAAUCCUUUCGUUUGAAGUCCAUUCAUCUAGACUCAGGUUUUGCAAGAGGCUUUCGAGGUUUUGUAAUUGCAAGAUAACACGGGGGUAAAUACCGUUCCAUAUCUCAUUAAAUAUACCAAAACUCAUUCAUGCUUUAUUAUAACUAAGAAUUUAAAGAAGUGGAAGUAACAGCAAUAUUCAUUAUGUGUAUAGGAGAAUCUAUUACGCCAUGACUAAAGAAUUUGAGAGACUCUACAUACAAAAGAAAGAACGGUAACCAGAGCUUUGCCCUUACCUCAGUCCCCCCCCCCAACCAAAAAAAAAAAACUCUUUCUUUAUGGAAUAUUUAUUUUAUAUCAAUCUAUCGCUGUAUAUUAAUAUCAUUUGAAGGUUGUUAUAUGAGAUGCAUCCCUAAAUCACAUCUGUUGAUAUUGUUUCAUGAUGGUUAUCAUCACACUAAGGCAUUGAAGAUCUUUCCUCUGCUUGUGCCCUUGCUCAUGACAUGUUCUAUGAUUGGUUUCUCAUUAUGUCCUGGCAUCUGCAAAGCUUGAAGCAUUUUUAUAACUUACAGACAAUUAAAUGUGGUGUUGCUUGUUUUCUGUGAUGUUUUCAGAUUGGUGGAAGAAGUUGUUUUGAGAAUUUAUAAACGUGAGGUCCAACAAAAGGUUUUGGAAAUUGUUGGUGUCUUUCUGAACGAGUCAAAAAACUUUUAAUUUAAGCUAUUUUUCAGGUAUUCUGGUUGCUUUAAUGUGAAAUUUUCAUUGUUGGCUUUUAGUUCGUUCAAAGAAGUCAGAUCUGACAUUUUACCACAAGGUUCAUUAUAUCAACUUUUUUAACUCUGUUUUUUUCAUUUUAUUCUUAUCUAUCGGUUUUAAUCCAAAUGUCUAUCGGUUAUAAUACAAUGGUGGCUUGGAGAGUUAUCGUAACACCCCAAAAAAAUAUUUUGAAUUUAUCUAUUUAUUUUAUAAUUAUAUAUGUUUAUUAUUAUCGUUAUUGUUUUAUUGCUCUAAACUUCCUCUAUUGUUUUUAUUUUUUAUUUUUUAAAUUUAUAACUAAGCCCAGCCCAUAACCAAUUUAUAAAAACUUUAGUUCUUUAACAAACAAAACCAUCGUUCGGAUAAUGAUAAUAUUAAUAAAAUAAAAAUAAAAGAAGAGGGGAAGGAUAACUGAGACAGAACGAGAAAAAAAUAAAAAUAAAAGAGAGAGAGAACAGGAAGAAAAAGAAAUGGAGGGAAAGAGAGCAAUUGGAUUUUAGAGAGAAUAGUUGUGCAUUUAAGGGAGCUGAGAACAACGGCAAGUAUUAAAUUUCUGGGAAACCAACAUGGGUUUGGCUGGAUUUUCUCAUAACUCUUAUUCUUUAGACCUGGUUUGGGUAAGUGUCUGUGCAUGCAUGAUUCAAUUUUGAAAUCUUCUUACUUUUAUUGAUGAAUUUUUUUUCACUUAAUUUUCUUAAUUGUUUCCUUGCUGCUGCUGUAACUUUCAGCAAGUUUAGGAUUGUGUUGAAUUUGGGAUCCUUAAAUUAUUGGCAGAAGAGUUGGUUAAUUUUUGUUGCAGUAUUACCAGUAGGAAGUGGAGUUAGAGAAGUGUUUGGAGAGCUAGGAGCUGUUGGUGCAGGAUUUAAGGUAUGUGGUUAUAUGCAAUUGAGUGAUUUUGUUACUCAAAACUGAAAAAUCAGGUUGUUUUUCUUGCUUGAUAAUCUGAAUUUUUAUUUUGGGUCCUUAUAAGUUGUUUUCCGUAGAUUUAAUGUGUUAAUGGCUUAAUUGCUUCCUUUAAGAAUUAAUGCAGUGGGUGUGUGGUUAGCCAUUUAAUUACAUGACUACAUGGCUAAAAUAAAAAAUUGACAUGCUAGAAUUAUCACAGGAUUGCGAGUUUUAAUUGAAGACCAUGUAUUGAAAUUACUUGAAUCAGUUAAUUUGGGUUGAUGCAGUCAUGAAUGAGAAUUGAACUUUACGGCGAUAUGAGCCAAGUUUGGAAUAUGUAGUGGUGCUGAAUUGUGUUUAUGUAUCCUGCAAUGAUAUGGUGCUUUGAUUGCAUUUAAGUUUGUGGAUGUGGUGUUAAACUGGGGAUGUGCUGAGAUUCUGUUAUCUAUGGCUAUUAUUAUUGAGAAAUAUCAUGGAUGUGGUGUGUUAUUGUAAGGAAACUUACAUUGAUGCUAUUGAAUGAGUUAAUAAUUUUUAUUCCUUUCAUUCAAAAUGAAGUUUGAGAAGGUUGAUUGGUCAUGGACAGACUCCUGUCCUGCAGUGAAGCUCGCAAAGGAAAUUAUGGGCGAGGGCCCUUGGGAAUAAUGCCCCAAAAGUACGCUAUGCUGAAUUGACAUUGUUCAGAUUUCUAAAGUCUGCAAAAGAAAUCAUUGGCAGUGGCCCCUGGGGAUAGUGCACCAAAAGUACGUUGGGUAUUUCUUUUUAAAAUUAAUAUUGGGUGAAAAUGUUUGCUCGGGAUUACAGCUUACUGACUUGUCAGGCAUGUUUUUAUUUUAUAUUAUUGAAAGAGUAAUUUUAGGAUUUCUUUACACGUAACUUCAGAAAGUAUGAGCAACCCUAUAUUGGUAAGUGUGUAUGUUGUUAUGAUCUUGUCUUAUGAUGUUUCUGUUGAAUACCAAAACUUUCAAACUUAAAAGGUUUUAAGAAACAUAUAUAUCUUUGUAUAUUUUUGUUAUUGUUCUGGUUGUACUUCGGCAUUGCUGGCCUAGUAAACUUUGUAAGCUACCUUGUUGCAGAUAUUAUACUUUUUAAUACAUGUAUUUAGAAUGACUACGCAACAUCAGUAGGAUGCACUUAUAUCUGUUAGUGUUGUAGUGAUAGGGUCCCAGAGACCCCAAAUGUUGUAUUGACUGAUAUUUUGACGCUUUAAGCAGCUGGGUAUUAAAAUUGUUGGUUUGAUAUAUUGGAUAAUAUCCAUAUUUUAGGGGAGAUAUUGUCAAAUUUUUCUUGAAGUACUGGGUUUUAUUCAUCUCUAUUAGUAUAUGUUUGUUCUUGUAACCAAACAGUCACAGCUUAAUUGUUAAAUGCGUAUACUUGCACCUGAUGUAGAUAAAAUUUUCUUAUUACAAGUGCCCUUAAGUUAGGGGUGCGACAGUUAUUAAUUCAGCUAAUAAAAAAUAUCAAUGUUAAGAAUCCAAAUGAUUUAGCCGAUGAUGCAUAAUACUAGCUGAAGUAUGCUACUUAUAGCACGUAGGAUGAAAAAAUUUCUUUUAAUGCUCUCUCUUGGAAUAACUUGAAAUAGUUCAAGUUGCAUCCCAUGUUCAGAAUGAAUGAAAUUUGAUCAUUUCAGUAUGUGAGAACCUUAAGCUUGGUAUUUACCUUUUGGGUUAAAUAAAUGCAUCAUUCCAAUUCCAUAGGUUUGAGCAACUGAGUCUGGCAUAAAUCGUAAAUUCUGAAACAAUAUUUGAAUUAGUGUAUAAUUAUUUUAUUCUAUGGUUAUUUCAUUUUUUAUUUUUAUAAGAAUACUAUGGUUGUUUCAUUGGUUGAAACUUGGAACUUGAAUGGUUCUAUGUGAACUGAAAUGGUUGUAUUUGUUUGGAGAAAAAAGAGGGGACUGUUGUACUUUGUGGUCAUUUUUGUGCCCUUAUUUAUAGUUGCUAUGGGGAGAUUAUCUCUAAAGAAAAAGGGUUUUGUGACUGGCAAAAUACGUUAAUUUUACAUGGUUUAUAAUUAGUAAAUGAUAUGUUGUUUCUCGCUUCAGCCCCCUUCUUUGCUGAUGAUUAACUUGUAAUGUGCAGGCUUAUACAAACAGGUUUUGAUACUUCAGCUGAUUAGGGUAAUUGCGUACUUUCAUGGCCUGUGGGACUGGGACUCGAACCCACGCUUAUACAAACAGGAGUUGACCAGUGCGGUAUACUGGCGACUCUAUCCCUACUCACAUCAGUGUGUUCCUUAAGUUGCCGAAAGCCAAGUGACUGUGAAAUAUACAUUUAUGAUAGAUGGCAAAGCGGUUGAAGUUUAAGUAAUAGAAAACUUAUGUUAUUAUUAAAGACUGAAUUUUAUAUGGAUCUUGAUGAAACAUGUGUUUUAGGCGGAAUUUUAUUUCCAAUUCUGCUUUGGACAAAUCUAAUUUUUCUUUUUCAUUGAGGAAUGAAAAAUUUAGUUUGUUUUAUAAUUUAGAAUUGGUUGGUUUUGGUUCUUUGUCUGGUUAUGAGAAUUUUUAUUUGAUCAAUAUAAUUACUUUAUUUAAUGAAUUUCAACAGUAAUGUAAAUUCGGUUGUAUUAUAACACAAGAGAUUAGAUCAUAUCCUAAAAAAAAUAAAUAAAGAAAUUUGUGUUAGAUGAAAUUUUAAAUCCUUAAAUUUUAUAGAUUUUGAUGUUUGUAUUGAUUGUAUAAGAAGAAAAACAAACUAAUAAAAGGAUAUUGGCCUAGUGAGACCAUAGGUAUUAUAACAAGUGUUGCGGGCUCGUGACACCAUCGUUUGUUACAUGGGGAUUGCUUUUUUUUUUUUUUAAUUGUAUUUCUAUUUUUACUUUUUUUAUUAUUUAAUGGGGAUUUCAAUUCUCCAAUGGCCGGGAAAAAUGCAAACGAGAGGCCCACCAGCCUACUUGUUAAAAAGAGAUAAAAAAAUGCUGUCGUCUUCCAAAUUACUGCCCUCGGCUUUCAAUUUUUAUCCUUUUUAACUUUCUGUCUCUUUUUUUCAUUUGCCUCAAACGAAAAAGUUGGUCAUGGUUAAAUGGUGAAUAUAUGGACGUUUUGUGAGGGAUUCAGCUUGUUCUUAAUACAUUCUUCGGUAAUUUCCAUUUUGAUUUGCAUGAUCGGUAACAGCGUAGCUACAAAAUUUGGCACUUAUGGUGCUUAUUGUUUAAUUUAAUGAUAUUGAUAUCGUACGUUCUUGUGUUUUGUAACAAGGGUCAAUUUGUUAGCAGGACGAAGGCUUGGUGUUAUAAGACUAGGAGGACGAUCAUAAAGAAAGUGCUGAAGAUGAAGUAGAGAAGGUUAUAAUAGAGGAGAAAAGGGUCUGUUCAAGUGGGUUAGCUGAUGGAAAUAUUCCCAGUCUCAAUCUUACUACAGGCUUAUUGGCAUCUUCCCCUCAGAAACCUGAAGACACAGAGUCCUCCAGAAGGUUAAGAAUUCAGAACAUAUUUACUCUUUGUGGAAACAACAGGGAGCUUUCUCAGCACACGAGAACACCAGUACCAGCAAAAAGGAAUGCUGAAAACAUUGAUCCUCUUGCUUGUCGAUUGAAAACUGUUAGCAGUGUCCCCAUGGUGGAACCUGUAAUGGCAUUGGCUUCAAAGGAGAAUUACAACCCUUCUAGUAAAAGCAAUGAUGUACAGGUUGAAGUGUAUGCUGCUUUUACUUGGUAAAUUCAAAUUUUUAAACUGAUUUUUUUCACUAACUUGCAUUGUUCUUUUAUGCAGGAACCUACUGUCUUUGCCAGCCCAAUGCCAGUGAAUCCAAUUGAAAACAAGCUGUUCACUUCGACUCCUCCGCAUCUAAGUUCAACCCCCUUCAUUACUCUUAAAAGGGGCAUUAGUCGAGUGCAGCGUGUGCUGGGUGUUUGAGUGAGUAUAUUACAUGUGUACUCAGCAAACAAUGUGAUUUUGUGGAUAAUCGGAUGCGCUUGUAUUGUAAUUAUAUAUGUAUAGUUGAUAUGUUUCUCUUGAUGGUAAAUCAGUGUCCAUUUUUUUAAACAACUGUAGGUUGGUAAACAAUUUCAGCUCAUCUCCUGAGUUGAGACAUUCUGAAGCUUAUCUGAUGAGCUGGCGCUUGAAUUAUCUUUCUUGUCUACCGACAAGUGCUCCUCAUUAUCCAAAUUUCCUCUUCUUUUGGUUUACUAAAGUGCGGAAAACUCGCACAUUUUUGUUAUUGAUCAUCUUGCAUUUGCAAUGACUGAGGGGUAAGAACUUUUGGACACACUUGUUUAUGUAAGAACAUUGGCGAACCUGUAAUGUAAUGCUAAUUAAUGUCUUCAAAAGUGAAAGCACUGAUUUGCACAAGUUUGUGUGAAAUGGUGACGUCUGGUUUGAAUUUUGUAAUGAGCGGUGGCGUUGGGUCCCUCUGAAAGUGACCCGUUGUUGAAAGUGACCCGUUAUUGCAACUAGAUUAUUAUUUAUUCUUGAUUAUUUUUUAAUACUGAUUUCACAUCAUAUUAAAAUCUAGAUAAAUAACCCUUACAGCGAAAGGGUAUAUUUGUUCUACUCGUAUUUCAUAAAAGAGAAAGACUUACAAACUAUUGUUGAUUUUUUUUAAUAUUAAUUUCACAUCAUAUUAAAAUUCAGAUAAGUAACCCUCACAGAGGAGGAGUUUUACUCUAUUCGUAUUUCGUAAAAGAGAAAAACUCACAAACCGUUAUUAAGUUUUUUUAAUAUUGAUUACACAUCAGAUUACUGACAAGUAACCCACAAAGAAAUGAUGUCUAUACUCCACUCGCAUUUCGCAAAGGAGAAAAACUUACAAAUAAACCCCACAAUCAUUUAUAAUGCUAAAGAGAAAGACUUACAAACCGUUAUUAAGUUUUUUUAAUAUUGAUUACACAUCAGAUUACUGACAAGUAACCCGCAAAGGAAGGAUGUCUAUACUCCACUCGCAUUUCACAAAGGAGAAAAACUUACAAAUAAACCCCACAAUUAUUUAUAAUGCUAAAUUGAGAGAGUUUUGAGUUCAGGAACCCUACCUUCACAAUCUUUCUUAACUCUAAAAGUAAGGAUUCACCGUUGGGCCAAAUGGCCAUUGGCUUAUUUAUUCUUGAUUAAACUUUCUUGAAGGACAAAAUAAUCUGCUCCAUUCACGUAAUUGUAAUGAAAGCAGCCUGUUUUUGCAUCAAAAUUAUUUUGAGAGUAUAUAAUUUAUAAAAUUGAAAACAAGCUGUUGCUUUCGAAGACUCCACUUCAAAUCAUUUUUCUGUUCAGUGUUAGAAUAAGUUGUCCAUGAUUGGAAGCUCUAGACUACUCUUUUAUUUUGCAAGCUUGAAUUUAUUUACAAUUCAUCUCUUCUUUUAUCCCUUUCAGAUAGAAGCCUGUUUCUUGAACCAAGCACAGCAUUCCCUUUAUUUUCGGGAACGAGCCAAGAAGCCUCCUAUUAUCCAUCCAUAUUUUUAUUUUCAUUUUUUAAUCUCUGAAGAAAUCAACGUUUUCUAAGAAGAAGUUGGAGUGUAAUACGUAGUCAAUAGCCAAAUUAAAGCAAAUUUAACUUGAUGAAAAGGACUUGCCAAAUUAAUCAUGAAAAGGACUUCAAUAUUUUGAUACACGCAUCUAUUUAGUGGAAGGUAUACUAUUCAUUACUUUUCUGCACAAUUUUUCCUUUUCCUCUCAUAAUUUGAAAAUAAACCUUGGCUUUAGGGAAAAGUGCUGAUGCUUUGUAGGUUCAAUUCAAAUCUGUCAUCCACAUUUGGCAGAUGUAUGGACACGUCAAUCGUCAAGAAUUUAGAUGUCCUCAAAUAGUUACAGCACUUACAUGCCCAAGUUUGUGAGUUGGACCACAAAGUCAAGACAAAUUGGAUCACAAAAUUCACGUAACACACUAACGUAAAAGCUAAGAGGUGACCUCAACCUUCAUGCACAAAUUCCAGAAUAUCAUGGCCUAGCCACCAGAAAAUUGAAAGCAUCUUUUACAUUUAUAUUCCAUAAUAUUUCAUCAGAGGUAAUCCCGGCUCACAAAAUCAAGACAAAUUGUGACUUGUCAAAAACUAUAAAUCCUGGAUCAGGAUUCUAUUUUGUGUAUGACUUAUGUUGGAUAUUAUUUAUUUUUUUCUCCUUUCUUUUUGAUUACAUAGUUUUCCAUUCACAAAACACUUGUUAAGUCGCUUAUGAGGAGCUACAGCCCACGGGGAAACACUGGUUGAGGUUUAAUCUUUUUUAUUUAAAUAAGAAGGAUUUAAUAAGAGUUAAAUAAAAAAGAGUGAAAUUAACUAAGCAUGGGUUAAGUUAAACAGAGGCAACCAAAAUUCUCUAAAGGGUACUGAAAAUAUUUAUUUCGUCAUAAUAUCGUGGAGCUUAAACUCCACCACAAUUAUUCAACUCUGCCAUUGCCAAAUCUCAUCCAUAAUAAUUAAACUCAAUCAUCUCUGCCAAAUCUUAUCCAUCCAUAUUUUAAUUUUGAUUUUUUAAUAUAAAUUUAUUCUUUUUAUUGUUUUUUUAUUUUGAUUUUUUUAAUAAAUUUAUUCCAUAAACUACAAUUUGUUUCCCAGUUCAAAAAAAGUAGAAUGACUAACUAAAAAUAUAAAUAAAGCAACCAAUGAAUCAUUAGUUAAGAUGACAAAGCCGACCAAGAUUUUGUCCAGGCAAGAUGGCAAAUCGUUUUUGAGAAUUCGCCACAAAUAUUGAGAAUUCGCAACAUUUAAGAUGGCAAACUGUGUUGAGAAUUCACACGACAUUCGCUUUUUCUUUCGGGAGGGGACCAAGCCAAGAAGGUAACCAACCAACGAGCAACCUCGUUUUGUCCAUCACAUACGUUGGUGUGAGCCGACUUUGAGAUUUAUUUAUUCCUGUCAUCAUUUUUUGACUUUUAAGGCAAUAAAAAGUUACGGGCAACUUUUUCCAAAGCUUGACAUCCUUUCUUUGGCAACUUCUCCUCAGGCAACUUUUUCCAAAGCUUGAUGUUGAUGCCCUCUCUUUCGCAACUUCUCCCCUUAUAAAGCCUCAGACUCCCAGCAUUUAAAAAUCCCCCUUACUGUAAUUCAUCUAUUCUCCCUCUCCUUCUUCUUCUUUCUCUUUCUCUCAUUCUUUUCAGCUCAGUCAUCUCUGCCAACCCUUAUACUCACAAGCAUGGAUUUUUCAAUUGAUUUGAGGUUUUUGUUUCCGCCAUUGCUAAAUCUUGUCAUCUUUUUUCUGUUCCUCAGGUCUCUGGAUGGCAUCUCUUGGGACGUCCAAGAUGGUACCAAUAAGAUACUCUUGUAUCCAAUUUUAAAGCUUCAGUUCUGGUUCCUGAUCCCUGCCGUCGUCAUCCCAUUACUGCUCUUCCUCCUCACACCCAUCAGACUCACCCUCAAUGUGAGCCGCUCCAUUUCCGUGAGUUGUGGAGAACCCUCGGUUCUGUUGGCUAUCUCGGUGGUUGCGUCUGUCUUUGUGGCUCCGUCUCUGUUCUUGGUAGCGUAUUUGUGCCUCAUACUCUUAUCACUCUGUUAUGCAACGUUGGCUUCUCUGCUUAGGCGCUGCUUCUACUGGUUUCGAAAUCUCUUCCGCAAUUUCUUCAUUCGCGGUCACGCAGUUGAAGGGAACCACAUCCAAGACCAGCAGCCAAGUUCUACUGAUGAUCGUGAGAAUAACCUGGAAAUUGUUCUAAGUUUGAUAUAACGUAAUAUGAUACUGCUGGUGCCACUGUGGGAUGACUGGGGUCCCAGUGCCUAUUGUAAUAUAUGUAUAUGUGUGUGUGUGUGUGUGUAUAUAUGUAUAUAUAUAUGUGUGUAUACGUAUGUAUGCAUGUAUGUAUGUAUGUCAUCUUUCCAUUUUAUAUAUAUAUAUAUAUGUGUGUGUGUAGUCGUUGUGUUGUAUAUCCGAACAAGUUUUAGCAGUUGUGCUGUAAAAGCUUAGUUGAAAAGCACUUUUACCGGUAAUAGACACAGGCUACUUUCUUUCUUCCAUUUUAUUAUUAUUAUUAUUAUUUUGUUUUAGAAUUAUGAUCCAACUGUCCACUUAGCUCCUAUAUUUAGAUUCUGUGUCCAAAUUUAUAUUCUGUUUCUAUGAAGAUGAAAAAGGGACUGUUUAACUACCCUGAAUAUUAAAUGUAUAACGACCCACGUCUCAGGGAUACUUUAAUUAUUUCUAAAGGUUAUUUUGGUCUUUCACUUCAAUAAUUGAAAUCCCAUAUCACCCAAAUCCCUAAACAUUCCUUCGACGAUCGUCAAAACCAACCCAAACCCAAAGCCAAACAUUUGCAUCGUCGCUGGUGCAAAAUCCGCUCAUCUCAGCUGAUCGGCGUCGCUCGGCAUAGAAGUACAGUUUUUUUUUUAAUUUCUAUUGAAUUUUUAUAAGAAAUUUCUUUCUGUUAUUCAUUUCUCUUUUCCUUUUGCUUAUCGUUGAUGAGUGAUUCUUUGUUUAACUGAAUUUGAUUCGAUUUUAGAGGUCUCUGAUAUCUCAUUGAGGUCAUUUUGUGCCUACUUCACUUGAUUGAGUUAAUUUUCCUUGUUUUUGUGAAUUGACAGCUUCUUGUUAUUUAUAUGCUGAAGUCAGUUAAUUGUUCCCCCAACGAAUGAUGUGAUAUCAGAAAAAUAAAUUUGUCUAACAUGGGUAAGUAACGCGUGUGUUUUGAUGAAAGGGGUGAAAACAGAGAGUGUGGCAAUGAGUAAUGGAGAUUUUCUAGCCAAAUAUGGUGGUGGAUUCUUUGGGUGGGCUUUAUAUUGCUUAUAGUGAUAGGAGUUCAUGUCUUGCUGCUGCGCUUUGAGAGACCUAAACAUUUGGGAAAUAAGUGAAGUGGGGAGAGUGGACUCGUGUUUGCGAAUGUGGCCGUUGAUGAACACUGCAAUUAUGUAGAAAAUGAGUGUAGAAGAGAAAGAGUAAUGUUGUAAUAACCAAGUUGGUUCAGUUAUUUACAGAUAAAUUGUUACUAACCUUAACUGAAAAAGAAAUUAUAUUAAUUCUGCAUGAAUAAUAUUGGCAUGGCAAAUAAGAACUUGGAUUAUUUUGUAUUUGUCUUAUCCGAUGGAAACUUUUUCUUUUGCUUUAUAUUUUCAUUUU
This 10960-nucleotide long non-coding RNA is filed under the name Citrus sinensis (sweet orange). RNAcentral describes it as "long non-coding RNA (CSIN_LNC003841)". Lineage: Eukaryota; Viridiplantae; Streptophyta; Magnoliopsida; Sapindales; Rutaceae. The record is from RNAcentral.